Molecule: non-coding RNA, 408 nt
Organism: Penaeus vannamei (Pacific white shrimp)
Lineage: Eukaryota; Metazoa; Arthropoda; Malacostraca; Decapoda; Penaeidae
Source: RefSeq, a predicted model, not a curated record
CAGGGAAAAAAUGGACGGGAAGGGCACGACCGACGAGGUCAUGGAAGAACCGGAAGGGGAGGUCACGACCGACGAGGUCAGGGAAGAACCGGAAGGGGAGGUCACGACCGGAGGUCAGGGAAGAACCGGAAGGGGAGGUCACGACCGACGAGGUCAGGGAAGAACCGGAAGGGAGGUCACGACUGACGAGGUCAUGGAAGAACCGGAAGGGGAGGCCACGGCCGCGGAGGUCAAGGAAGAACCGGAAGGGGAGGUCACGACCAACGAGGUCAGGGAAGAACCGGAAGGGGAGGUCACGACCGACGAGGUCAGGGAAGAACCGGAAGGGGAGGUCGCUCAAGAGCCCGAAAAGGAGACCCAGGAAGUCGCCCAACAGGCCGAGGAGGAGACCCAGGAAGUCGCCCAACA